UUAAGCGACUAAGCGUACACGGUGGAUGCCCUGGCAGUCAGAGGGCGAUGAAGGACGUGCUAAUCUGCGAAAAGCGUCGGUAAGGUGAUAUGAACCGUUAUAACCGGCGAUGUCCCGAAUGGGGAAACCCAGUGUGAUUCGUCACACUAUCGUUAACUGAAUACAUAGGUUAACGAGGCGAACCGGGGGAACUGAAACAUCUAAGUACCCCGAGGAAAAGAAAUCAACCGAGAUUCCCCCAGUAGCGGCGAGCGAAACGGGGAGCAGCCCAGAGUCUGAAUCAGCUUGGUGUGUUAGUGGAACGGUCUGGAAAGUCCGACGGUACAGGGUGAUAGUCCCGUACACCAAAAUGCACAGGUUGUGAACUCGAAGAGUAGGGCGGGACACGUGGUAUCCUGUCUGAAUAUGGGGGGACCAUCCUCCAAGGCUAAAUACUCCUGACUGACCGAUAGUGAACCAGUACCGUGAGGGAAAGGCGAAAAGAACCCCGGCGAGGGGAGUGAAAAAGAACCUGAAACCGUGUACGUACAAGCAGUGGGAGCACCUUUCGGGUGUGACUGCGUACCUUUUGUAUAAUGGGUCAGCGACUUAUAUUCUGUAGCAAGGUUAACCGUAUAGGGGAGCCGCAGGGAAACCGAGUCUUAACUGGCGUUAAGUUGCAGGGUAUAGACCCGAAACCCGGUGAUCUAGCCAUGGGGCAGGUUGAAGGUUGGGUAACACUAACUGGAGGACCGAACCGACUAAUGUUGAAAAAUUAGCGGAUGACUUGUGGCUGGGGGUGAAAGGCCAAUCAAAACCGGGAGAUAGCUGGUUCUCCCCGAAAGCUAUUUAGGUAGCGCCUCGUGAAUUCAUCUUCGGGGGUAGAGCACUGUUUCGGCUAGGGGGUCAUCCCCGACUUACCAAACCCGAUGCAAACUACGAAUACCGAAGAAUGUUAUCACGGGAGACACACGGCGGGUGCUAACGUCCGUCGUGAAGAGGGAAACAACCCAGACCCGCCAGCUAAGGUCCCAAAGUCAUGGUUAAGUGGGAAACGAUGUGGGAAGGCACAGACAGCCAGGAUGUUGGCUUAGAAGCAGCCAUCAUUUAAAGAAAGCGUAAUAGCUCACUGGUCGAGGUCGGCCUGCGCGGAAGAUGUAACGGGGCUAAACCAUGCACCGAAGCUGGCGGCAGCGACACUAUGUGUUGUUGGGUAGGGGAGCGUUCUGUAAGCCUGCGAAGGUGUGCUGUGAGGCAUGCUGGAGGUAUCAGAAGUGCGAAUGCUGACAUAAGUAACGAUAAAGCGGGUGAAAAGCCCGCUCGCCGGAAGACCAAGGGUUCCUGUCCAACGUUAAUCGGGGCAGGGGUGAGUCGACCCCUAAGGCGAGGCCGAAAGGCGUAGUCGAUGGGAAACAGGUUAAUAUUCCUGUACUUGGUGUUACUGCGAAGGGGGGACGGAGAAGGCUAUGUUAGCCGGGCGACGGUUGUCCCGGUUUAAGCAUGUAGGCUGAUUGUCCAGGCAAAUCCGGAUAAUCAAGGCUGAGGUGUGAUGACGAGGCACUACGGUGCUGAAGUAACAAAUGCCCUGCUUCCAGGAAAAGCCUCUAAGCAUCAGGUAACAUCAAAUCGUACCCCAAACCGACACAGGUGGUCAGGUAGAGAAUACCAAGGCGCUUGAGAGAACUCGGGUGAAGGAACUAGGCAAAAUGGUGCCGUAACUUCGGGAGAAGGCACGCUGGUGUGUAGGUGAAGUCCCUGCGGAUGGAGCUGAGACCAGUCGAAGAUACCAGCCUGGCUGCAACUGUUUAUUAAAAACACAGCACUGUGCAAACACGAAAGUGGACGUAUACGGUGUGACGCCUGCCGGUGCCGGAAGGUUAAUUGAUGGGGUUAUCCGUAAGGAGAAGCUCUUGAUCGAAGCCCCGGUAAACCGGCGGCCGUAACUAUAACGGUCCUAAGGUAGCGAAAUUCCUUGUCGGGUAAGUUCCGACCUGCACGAAUGGCGUAAUGAUGGCCAGGCUGUCUCCACCCGAGACUCAGUGAAAUUGAACUCGCUGUGAAGAUGCAGUGUACCCGCGGCAAGACGGAAAGACCCCGUGAACCCUUUACUAUAGCUUGACACUGAACAUUGAGCCUUGAUGUGUAGGAUAGGUGGGAGGCUUUGAAGCGUGGACGCCAGUCUGCGUGGAGCCAACCUUGAAAUACCACCCUUUAAUGUUUGAUGUUCUAACGUUGGCCCCUGACCGGGGGUUGCGGACAGUGUCUGGUGGGUAGUUUGACUGGGGCGGUCUCCUCCCAAAGCGUAACGGAGGAGCACGAAGGUUAGCUAAUCCUGGUCGGACAUCAGGAGGUUAGUGCAAUGGCAUAAGCUAGCUUGACUGCGAGCGUGACGGCGCGAGCAGGUGCGAAAGCAGGUCAUAGUGAUCCGGUGGUUCUGAAUGGAAGGGCCAUCGCUCAACGGAUAAAAGGUACUCCGGGGAUAACAGGCUGAUACCGCCCAAGAGUUCAUAUCGACGGCGGUGUUUGGCACCUCGAUGUCGGCUCAUCACAUCCUGGGGCUGAAGUAGGUCCCAAGGGUAUGGCUGUUCGCCAUUUAAAGUGGUACCGCGAGCUGGGUUUAGAACGUCGUGAGACAGUUCGGUCCCUAUCUGCCGUGGGCGCUGGAGAAUUGAGGGGGGCUGCUCCUAGUACGAGAGGACCGGAGUGGACGCAUCACUGGUGUUCGGGUUGUCAUGCCAAUGGCACUGGCCCGGUAGCUAAAUGCGGAAGAGAUAAGUGCUGAAAGCAUCUAAGCACGAAACUUGCCCCGAGAUGAGUUCUCCCUGAGACUUUAAGUCUCCUGAAGGAACGUUAAAGACGAUGACGUUGAUAGGCCGGGUGUGUAAGCGCAGCGAUGCGUUGAGCUAACCGGUACUAAUGAACCGUGAGGCUUAACCUU
RNAcentral lists this ribosomal RNA (2917 nucleotides) under Klebsiella pneumoniae. RNAcentral describes it as "bacterial LSU rRNA". It matches the Rfam family "Bacterial large subunit ribosomal RNA". Lineage: Bacteria; Pseudomonadati; Pseudomonadota; Gammaproteobacteria; Enterobacterales; Enterobacteriaceae. The record is from RNAcentral.